RNAcentral lists this transfer RNA (94 nucleotides) under Trametes sanguinea. RNAcentral's name for it is "tRNA-Ser". It matches the Rfam family "tRNA". Rfam says of the family: Transfer RNA (tRNA) molecules are approximately 80 nucleotides in length. RNAcentral also lists the same sequence under 3 other names. Lineage: Eukaryota; Fungi; Basidiomycota; Agaricomycetes; Polyporales; Polyporaceae. The record is from RNAcentral.
GUCACUUUGCCGGAGUGGUUAACGGGAUCGCCUGCUAUUUAUAGCUGUUAGCGGUUGGGCUUUGCCCGCGAGUGUUCGAAUCGCUCAGGUGACG